AUGCCAAUGUUUGCCCUUACAGCCCUUAAAAUCCCAGUAAAGCUGUUGAAAGAAAUAGACAAAUGUAGACGCCGAUUCCUUUGGGGCCACGAUCAGGAGCUCACCGGCGGCAGCUGCAAGGUGAGUUGGGCUCGGGUUUGCUCCCCGAUCGAGCACGGAGGCCUUGGCAUCCUCGAUCUGCCCAAGUUCAGCCGUGCUCUCCGCCUCCGCUGGCUCUGGCACGCAUGA
This 228-nucleotide ribosomal RNA is filed under the name Triticum aestivum (bread wheat). RNAcentral's name for it is "partial small subunit ribosomal RNA". The record is from RNAcentral. Lineage: Eukaryota; Viridiplantae; Streptophyta; Magnoliopsida; Poales; Poaceae.